This 253-nucleotide ribosomal RNA is filed under the name uncultured bacterium. RNAcentral describes it as "partial 16S ribosomal RNA". It matches the Rfam family "Bacterial small subunit ribosomal RNA", at positions 524 to 776 of the family's 1533-position model. The record is from RNAcentral.
UACGUAGGGUGCAAGCGUUAAUCGGAAUUACUGGGCGUAAAGCGUGCGCAGGCGGUGAUGUAAGACAGAUGUGAAAUCCCCGGGCUUAACCUGGGAACUGCAUUUGGGACUGCAAGGCUUGAGUACGGCAGAGGGGGGUAGAAUUCCUGGUGUAGCAGUGAAAUGCGUAGAUAUCAGGAGGAAUACCGAUGGCGAAGGCAGCCCCCUGGGUCGAUACUGACGCUCAUGCACGAAAGCGUGGGGAGCAAACAGG